AUUGAACGCUGGCGGCAGGCCUAACACAUGCAAGUCGAACGAGUGGCGGACGGGUGAGUAAUGUCUGGGAAACUGCCUGAUGGAGGGGGAUAACUCCUGGAAACGGUAUCUAAUACCGCAUCCCAUCAGCUGUUCCCAGAUGGGAUUAGCUUGUUGGUGGGGUAACGGCUCACCAAGGAGACGAUCCCUAGCUGGUCUGAGAGGAUGACCUGACACCCUGGAACGGAGACACGGUCCAGACUCCGACGUGAGGCAGCAUUGGUGAAUAUUGCACAAUGGGCGCAAGCCUGAUGCAGCCAUGCCGCGUGUAUGAAGAAGGCCUUCGGGUUGUAAAGUACUUUCAGCGGGGAGGCGUUACCCGCAGAAGAAGCAGCGGCUAACUCCGUGCCAGCCGCCGCGGUAAUUC
This 406-nucleotide ribosomal RNA is filed under the name uncultured bacterium. Its description in RNAcentral is "partial 16S ribosomal RNA". It matches the Rfam family "Bacterial small subunit ribosomal RNA", at positions 30 to 526 of the family's 1533-position model. The record is from RNAcentral.